This 461-nucleotide ribosomal RNA is filed under the name Streptococcus sanguinis. Its description in RNAcentral is "bacterial SSU rRNA". It matches the Rfam family "Bacterial small subunit ribosomal RNA", at positions 28 to 471 of the family's 1533-position model. The record is from RNAcentral. Lineage: Bacteria; Bacillati; Bacillota; Bacilli; Lactobacillales; Streptococcaceae.
GACGAACGCUGGCGGCGUGCCUAAUACAUGCAAGUAGAACGCUGAAGAGAGGAGCUUGCUCUUCUUGGAUGAGUUGCGAACGGGUGAGUAACGCGUAGGUAACCUGCCUGGUAGCGGGGGAUAACUAUUGGAAACGAUAGCUAAUACCGCAUGAUAUUGAAUAUCGCAUGAUAAUUAAUUGAAAGGUGCAAUUGCAUCACUACCAGAUGGACCUGCGUUGUAUUAGCUAGUUGGUGAGGUAACGGCUCACCAAGGCGACGAUACAUAGCCGACCUGAGAGGGUGAUCGGCCACACUGGGACUGAGACACGGCCCAGACUCCUACGGGAGGCAGCAGUAGGGAAUCUUCGGCAAUGGGGGGAACCCUGACCGAGCAACGCCGCGUGAGUGAAGAAGGUUUUCGGAUCGUAAAGCUCUGUUGUAAGAGAAGAACGGGUGUGAGAGUGGAAAGUUCACACUGUG